RNAcentral lists this ribosomal RNA (485 nucleotides) under uncultured bacterium. Its description in RNAcentral is "bacterial SSU rRNA". It matches the Rfam family "Bacterial small subunit ribosomal RNA", at positions 28 to 515 of the family's 1533-position model. The record is from RNAcentral.
GAUGAACGCUAGCGGAAGGCUUAAUACAUGCAAGUCGAGCGGUAGGUGGCUUCGGCCAUUGAGAGCGGCGCACGGGUGAGUAACGCGUACAUGACCUGCCUGUCAGAAGGGGAUAGCCCUGGGAAACUGGGAUUAAUACCCUAUGGUAUUGAUAUUAUGAAUGAUAUCAAUUAAAGUUGAGGCGCUGACAGAUGGAUGUGCGUCUGAUUAGCUAGUUGGUAGGGUAACGGCCUACCAAGGCGACGAUCAGUAGGGGCGUGAGAGGAUGAUCGCCACACUGGAACUGAGACACGGUCCAGACUCCUACGGAGGCAGCAGUGGGGAAUUUUGGACAAUGGGGGCAACCCUGAUCCAGCCAUGCCGCGUGAGUGAAGAAGGCCUUCGGUUGUAAAGCUCUUUCGGCCGGGAAAAAUCGACAUCAGUUAAUACCUAGGUGUGGAUGAUGGUACCGAAUAAGAAGCACCGGCUAACUACGUGCCAGCACG